RNAcentral lists this long non-coding RNA (692 nucleotides) under Salmo salar (Atlantic salmon). Its description in RNAcentral is "lncRNA (ENSSSAG00000089582.1)". Lineage: Eukaryota; Metazoa; Chordata; Actinopteri; Salmoniformes; Salmonidae. The record is from RNAcentral.
GGCCUCCACAAUCACCCGACCUCAACCCAAUUGAGAUGGUUUGGACCGCAGAGUGAUGGAAAAGCAGCCAACAAGUGCUCAGCAUAUGUGGGAACUCCUUUAAGACUGUUGGAAAAGCAUUCCAGGUGAAGCUUGUUGAGUGAAUGCCAAGAGUGUGCAAAGCUGUCAUCAAGGCAAAAGAUGGACGUGGUACCCUCAGGCGUUUGGAAAUUGCUCCCAGGGAUGAACCAGACUUGUGGAGGUCUACAAUUGUUUUUCUGAGGUCUUGGCUGAUUUUUAUUUUAUUUUACCAUGAUGUCAAGCAGAGGCACUGAGUUUGAAGGACCUGAGCCCUAGGACCAUGCCUCAGGACUACCUGGUAUGAUGACUCCUUGCUGUCCCCAGUCCACCUGGCCGUGCUGCUGCUCCAGUUUCAACUGUUCUGCCUGCGGCUAUGGAACCCUGACCUGUUCACCGGACGUGCUUGUUGCACCCUCGACAACUACUAUGAUUAUUAUUAUUUGACCAUACUGGUCAUUUAUGAACAUUUUAACAUCUUGACCAUGUUCUGUUAUAAUAUCCACCCUGCACAGCCAGAAGAGGACUGGCCACCCCUCAUAGCCUGGUUCCUCUCUAGGUUUCUUCCUAGGUUUUUGGCCUUUCUAGGGAGUUUUUCCUAGGGAGUUUUUCCUAGCCACCGUGCUUCUUUCACA